Long non-coding RNA from Rhodamnia argentea, 301 nucleotides. RefSeq lists it as uncharacterized. The record is from RefSeq and is a predicted model, not a curated record. Lineage: Eukaryota; Viridiplantae; Streptophyta; Magnoliopsida; Myrtales; Myrtaceae. The transcript is spliced from 3 exons.
ACAGCGACAAGGCAACUCUCGUUCCCAAAGUCAAAACCAACCACACUCAUCUUUAGCUUGGCAGACUAAUUCAGGCGAUAAAUAGGCCGAAUGGGUGCAGUAAAAAGUGUUGAUUGCCUGACGAGGGAGGAGGGAGGAGGGAGGAGGGAUCAUGUCUGAGGCGGUCUGCGAACUUGCCAACAGAGAGAGUUGAAGAAGAGGAAGAGGAAGAGGAAGAGCGAGGUAGUUGCAGAUGCCCACAAGACCGGGAAACGACGGAGGUAACUGUCGAUCCUCACCUGAUUUUCAAACCUACCCUUCC